Anguilla rostrata (American eel) is the source of this 5728-nucleotide RNA transcript. It is a transcript of the gene named ankyrin repeat and zinc finger peptidyl tRNA hydrolase 1, with no coding region annotated. The transcript has 17 exons. The record is from RefSeq and is a predicted model, not a curated record. Lineage: Eukaryota; Metazoa; Chordata; Actinopteri; Anguilliformes; Anguillidae.
AUUGUUGCCAGAAACUUUCUUCUGGCUUCACGGAAGUAUAGAUAGGCAGAUGUCUGUUUUUAGUAGUAGAGAUAUUUCUGUCACCACUGCCAGCUUGCAGUUUUUGUGGAAGUCUAACUUGACCAGCUCAGUACCUUUGACUUCUCAAAGUUACGAACAUCGUAACAAGCGUGUCUAAAACCUCUGUGCAAACUCAAACUAUUAGCUGGGAUAGGACUUCAGCAACCUCGUGGCAGUAGAGUUCAUCAUGACAGCAGUUCCAGAAUACUGCACCCUGUUCGAUUGCCUUCAAGACCAGUCACUGCUAGAGGGGAUUCGAGAGAUUCUUGCUGUCCAGGAGCCACCCCUACCUGACGACAGUACAUCUAAUAAUGAAGAUGUGGGGGACUUUCUCUGGGAAAAGAGUCAUUUGGAUGAAAAGAAGGCAGAGGGUGUUCCUGUUGGGGAGGUCUCAGACAGGAUGUUUUGUUCAGCCUGCCAGUGCCCCUUUGACAGCCGUGAAGAGCAGACAGAGCACUACAAACUGGACUGGCACCGCUUCAACCUGAGACAGAGGCUGGUGGGGCGAAGCCCGGCCACGGCUGAGGAGUUUGAGAGGAAGACGGGAGCAGGUGAUAUGUCCAGCAUCUCAGGCUCAGACUCCGAGGACACGGAUUCGGGCAGCGAUCGGUGUUCCCAUGGUGUUGAGGACCCGGCCUCUGGUGGGACUGAGAGCCCUGUUAAAAUGGAGGAGCCCCUCAGCCGCCUGAGCCCCAGGGUGGUCUUCCAGAAUGCUCAGGGAAAGUUCCUGUCUGUGUAUCGCUGUGUCCUGCAGAAUAAGAAGAUGGAGGAGGUGGAGGACCUGGUUCCUACCCUGCUGAGUUUCAGUAACAAGUCUGUGUGGGUCGUUUUGAUGACUGGAGGGGGACACUUUGCAGGAGCGGUUUUUCAGGGGAAAGAGGUCCUGCAGCACAAGACGUUUCACCGGUACACGGUGCGGGCCAAGCGGGGCACGGCUCAGGGGCUGCGGGACUCCCAGAGCCGCGGCAACGCGCCCAAGUCUGCCGGCGCGACGCUGCGGCGCUACAAUGAGGCUAUGCUGGUUAAGGAUGUGCAGGACCUGCUGGAGAGUUGGUCCGAGCACCUGAAGGAGGCGAGUGUGAUCUUCCUCCGCGCCCCCAGCUACAACCGCAGCAUCUUCUUCGGGGGGCGGGCGGCCCCCCUCGACAAGAACGACCCCCGCGUUCGCACCUUGCCUUUCGCCACCCGCCGGGCCACUUUUCGGGAGGUCGUAAGGGUGCACGCGACCCUCUCCACACUACACAUCUACGGGAAAGACACUGAUGUCUCCAGCAUCUUCUGCCCUUCAAAGAAAGCAUGGAGAAAGAAGCCCAGUAGACCAGAAGGAGCAGCAGACACCAGCCCUGCUCCUGUAACUGCGCCCCCUGUGGCAGCGGAGGAGGGAGAGCCGCAGGAGGACGGGAGCACAGACGAGGGGGACGUGGAGCUGGUGGAGGUCGAGGUGACUCUGGACACUCUGGAGCUCCGCGAGUUCGAGGUCCACCCCAGCAGGAGGCGCCGGAGGAAGAAAAAAGAGGGACACAGAGGGGCGGAAGUACCCAUAGAGCCGGAGGAGCCGAGGGAGGGCGCGGACCAGAACGGGGCGGGGCACGCGGACGAGGAGGAGAGGCGCGCGAAGCGGAGGCCCAGGAGGGCCAAAAAGACGCAGCGCGCGGAGGAAGACGCGGGCGCGGACCGCGGGGAGUACGGCCUGCUGGACGCCGUCUACACUGCCUGCAAGACGGGGCAGCUGGACGCCCUGCGCGGCCUCCUGCGGCCGCCGGGCCGCGGGGACGAGGAGGGGCGCGACGGCGAAGACCGGGGGCGUCCGCCUUCCCCCGCCUUCCUGAACCGGGAGAUGGACUCCUCCGGGUUCACCCUCCUGCAUGUGGCUUCGGCCGCGGCUCAGCGGGGCGUGGUCAGGCUGCUGAUGGACGCAGGCUGUGACCCAGCGUGCAGAGCUGUUAAGGGACAGACGCCCUACGCCGUGGCACCUGACAAGGACACCAGGAACGUCUUCCGCAAGUACAUGGCUGAGCACCCCGAUAAGUACGACUACAGCAAAACGCAGAUCCCGGGGCCGCUGACGGAGGAGAUCGAGCUGAAGAAGGCCGAGAAGAGGCGCGCGCAAAAGGUCGCCAGAAAGCAGCGAGAGAAGGAGCAGAAAGAGGAGAGGCAGAAGCAGGAGGCGGAGCUGGAGGAGCAGAGGAAGUUCACGUCUCUCAGCGACAGGGAAAAGAGGGCCCUGGCUGCAGAGAAGAGAUUGGCACAGCAGAUGGUCUCCACCGGGACCGAGUUCACCAACACCAGGUAAUGCUCCACCGGGACAGGGUUCACCAACACCAGGUAAUGCUCCACCGGGACAGGGUUCACCAACACCAGGUACUACUACACAAGGACAGAGUUCACCAACACCAGGUAAUGCUCCACCGGGACAGGGUUCACCAACACCAGGUAAUGCUCCACCGGACAGGAGUUCACCAACACCAGGCGGUGCUGGCAGUGUGGAGAGUCUCUGCUGGGGAAGAUCCCCUUCGAGUACCUGCACUUCUCUUUCUGCACACCCCGCUGUGUCCAGCUGCACCGCAAGGCCAAGGCCUCCGACACCAAGCCGUGACCUUUGACCUCUCACGUCCUGCCGUGACCUCUCAUAUCUGAACCUCACCAGAUGUAGAGCAGUCUGGUUAGGAGAGAGGCCUGUUGCUACUGCCACUGCCUCACCUCCUGCCUGUUGCCCUCUAUGGACAGUUAAUCUGGAUGAGCAUUACCGCCUGUAAUACUCAGGGAAAUGUAGUUUCCUGACUUAAUAAUGUUAUGUUUAAUUUAACAUUUCAGUAUGAUUUUGUACAUGCAGGGUCUUCUGGCCUCAUGCAUGUUGCAUUUCACAUGAUACUGUGUUGUGUCAUGACCAGCUGUAUUAUAAUGUUUACAGCAAUAGAAUAAUUGCAGGAAUGCAUGCAAUUAUAAUAAUUAUUAAUUAUUAUUAUAAUUAAUUGUAAUAUUUAUUCAUAUAAAAAAUAGUAAUUACCAGUGUCCACUUACAUGUUGACCUUGUAAUCUGAAUGCUUUUAGUUGAUUGCAGCACUUGGAAAUAAUGGAAAACCAUUUAAUGUGCACAAACCACAUAAUGUUUUGCAGUUUUGUGUAAUUGCCACUUCAUUUGAUUUAAAACCCCACAUGAAUAUUUGUACAAUCAGAAAUGAUUACCAUUUUGAAUUAAAUGUUUUACAAGUACCAAUUAAAGAUUGAAUAUGGCCUGGGUUGCUGCACAGCUCAUUUGGUUAAGGCACUACACUGUGGUGCAUGGAUGAGUCUUGCAGCCUCUGGACCAUGCCAGUGCUGACUGUGGCUGGUGGCUUCAUAGGGUGACAUGCAAUUGGCGAUGAGCUCCGUGUUCAUUGCUAUCUAGCGACCCCCGCUGGUUGAUCGGGCGCCUGUAGAUUGCAGUCAAAGCAGUGAACAGGUCUUCCUCUGACUCCGCCCUGUGCGAGCUCAACUGUAGUCUGCUGUGUGUAAGUAAGCAGCUGGUGACACUACGUGUUUCUGAGGAGAGCCGUGGAUGUCUGCACUCUCACAAAUAGUGUUACAGUUUGUAGUUCCAAAACCCGGAAGGGAGUUCGCAUAUUUCAGCCAUGGGAUCCCUUCGCAGAUUUCCAAUGCUUUUUUCCCCCUGGGGAUUUAGAUUUCUGUGGAAAAUAAGGUCUGUGGUUAACGUAAGCCCAAGAGAGUUUCAUAUUUUGUACUAGGAGAUAAAUUACACCCCUUAAUAUCUCAACUGUGAAUUUCGAAGCCAUUAUGUGUUUUAAAAGUUAAGUUGCUAUCAAGCAACCUGCUUUUUGAAAGCACAUAAUGGUGGAGGAAUGUGUAUAGUUUAAGGGUUUAGGAACUGGGUGUGUAACUAAAAGCUUGCAGGUUUGAGUCCCAGCCCAGGCACAGCUGCUGUACCCUUGAGCAAGCACUUUAUCUGAAUUGCUUCAGUAAAAUAUCCUGGUGUAUAAAUGGAUUGUUCGAAAAACUAAUCUGUGUAAGCAACUCUACUAAAGUGUCUACUAAAGUCUACUAAGGCUCACCUCUCAGACAGAACUAGGUCUGUGAUGUAGCACUGUGUGGCCUGUAGGGGGCAAAAGUGACCAGUCUGUAGGCGAGGCAUGAAAUCAGAGCGCAUGUCCUUCAGUCACUGUGCUCUGACUGUGGAGGUGCAGGUGGCAGAACUUCAGAGGAACAUUUCAGCACCUGGUUAUUUUGUAUUUCAUGCAUGUCAUCUUAAAAUAAGUGGACGUGGAGCAUCACGGUUCGGUAUAGUGCAUUUUAAUGUAAGGCAUGAAAAGUUACAAUAUGAACAAAUUCUGCAUUUGCUUGGGCAGCAAACCUCUGAACCACACCAACUCUCUGGCUUUAUUUGAUCACAUCUCAACACAGGUCCUAUGAGUGGAGGCUUUUCUUUUCCUAAGCUAUCAACUGAAAACCAGACGUCCUUCCUUCACCUCUUUCACACUGAAACGUUUGAAAGCUGGAACUGUACAUCAUAGCGCAGGAACUGUUGCAGUGGAGAUAGUGAGAGACAGAUUCCCAUUGCUUAAACGGAAGCAGGAUAUUAUGGUACUAUUGCAUACGGUAGAGUGACAUCACAACAUUUCCAUUGGUCUGAAUUUAUGCACCUUUAGACUGCUGAUUUCCAAUAUUGUGGGACUUAAUGGAAAUGAGCACUGUGCAUAUAAAACAUUCAAGUUAUUUCAGCCAAGUUAGCAAUAAAAAUGUACUGCAAGGAAAUGGACAGUUUUAAUAUGCAAUGUUAAGUACCCUGGUCCUUGGUUAUGUAAAAAAAAAAAAAAAAAAUUAUGACCAAGUAAUUGUCAUGACUGAAUACACUGUGUGAAGCUUGAGCAAAUCAUGACACCACUUUUCAUAAAAAAAGAAAUGAAUAAAUCAUCAGUCAGUAAAAAAGUUGUUAUAGUUCUAGUGUAUGUUUUUGAUUGGCCCAAAGGUUUUUGUGUGUGUUAAAGGAUAUUUUAGACGCAGAAAUUUCUGUGUCUAAUCAUAGGGGCAUUGACAAUGUAACUCAAAAGUAACUCCAGAACAGCUUGUGCAGUGACAUUGUUUCCAAAGGCUCUACAUACGAACACAUACUUUUUAUAGCAUUUAUUCACAAGUGUAAACAUAAAAAUGUUUCUAUUUCGUGUCAGUAUUUCUCAGUUUGUAAGCUGUGUAUGCUCUUGCCUUUGUUCUUGCAUGCCUGACAUUAGCAAAGCUUCUUACAAAUAGAAACCGAAGCUACUAUUCUCAGAAUAUGAAACGGAAGAUAGUUUCAGUUACAUUUCUGAAAGUUAUUUGCGCCUGAAUUUACGGAUGAGGAGUUUCAACUGACAGGCUGAGAGGUCAAAGAGGACAGCUGAACCGGCAUGCAGACAUCCAGAGGACAUCGAGCCCCAAUUUCAAUAAAUCUGGGUUGUCUUAAGAUAGCUGGUGAAAGUGACUCAAUGUUUUUGUCAGUUUUGCCCCGUAAGUUGGAAUUGCACUAGCAAUAACCCUUUUCGGUUCUGUUCAUUUGCUGUUGCUUUGAGGGGCUUCUCUCGCGGGUAGUACCGUUGAUACAGGAAGCCGGGCCACGCCUUUCCUUGAGCGUCACGGUCUAUGGCUGCAUGCUUCAUCAGAGACAGUUUCAAAUGAAGAUAGGAACAAAAGUAAUAUA